Molecule: ribosomal RNA, 468 nt
Filed under: uncultured bacterium
Lineage: Bacteria
Description: partial 16S ribosomal RNA
Rfam family: Bacterial small subunit ribosomal RNA
Source: RNAcentral
GACGAACGCUGGCGGCGUGCUUAACACAUGCAAGUCGAACGGAAAGGCCCUGCUUUUGUGGGGUGCUCGAGUGGCGAACGGGUGAGUAACACGUGAGUAACCUGCCCUUGACUUUGGGAUAACUUCAGGAAACUGGGGCUAAUACCGGAUAGGAGCUCCUGCUGCAUGGUGGGGGUUGGAAAGUUUCGGCGGUUGGGGAUGGACUCGCGGCUUAUCAGCUUGUUGGUGGGGUAGUGGCUUACCAAGGCUUUGACGGGUAGCCGGCCUGAGAGGGUGACCGGCCAACAUGGGAAUGGGAAGAGGCCCAAACUUCUACGGGAGGCAGGCGUGGGGGAUAAUGCAACAAGGGCGGAAGCCUGAUGCAGCAACGCCGCGUGCGGGAUGACGGCCUUCGGGUUGUAAACCGCUUUCGCCUGUGACGAAGCGUGAGUGACGGUAAUGGGUAAAGAAGCACCGGCUAACUACGUG